CGAGGGUGCAAGCGUUAAUCGGAAUUACUGGGCGUAAAGCGAGUGUAGGCGGUUACUUAAGUCGGAUGUGAAAUCCCCGGGCUCAACCUGGGAAUUGCAUUCGAUACUGGGUAGCUAGAGUUUGGUAGAGGUAAGUGGAAUUCCGGGUGUAGCGGUGAAAUGCGUAGAUAUCCGGAGGAACAUCAGUGGCGAAGGCGGCUUACUGGACCAAAACUGACGCUGAGGCUCGAAAGCGUGGGGAGCAAACCGGAUUAGAUACCCGAGUAGUCC
This 270-nucleotide ribosomal RNA is filed under the name uncultured archaeon. RNAcentral describes it as "partial 16S ribosomal RNA". It matches the Rfam family "Bacterial small subunit ribosomal RNA", at positions 527 to 796 of the family's 1533-position model. The record is from RNAcentral.